GUGCUUGACUUGGCAGCACAUAUUUGAGCAAAAAUUGGAACAACUUGCUGAAGAUUAGCAUAGCCAGGCACAAGGAUGACAUGCAAAUUCAUCAAGUGUUCUCUGUUUUU
Molecule: small nuclear RNA, 110 nt
Organism: Sorex araneus (European shrew)
Lineage: Eukaryota; Metazoa; Chordata; Mammalia; Eulipotyphla; Soricidae
Source: Ensembl